AGGAACUUAGGAUAUUUUAAACCGAGGGCCUUCAAAGCCCCUAAAAAGAGCACAUCUCUUAGCUCCUG
RNAcentral lists this transfer RNA (68 nucleotides) under Trioceros johnstoni. RNAcentral's name for it is "tRNA-Trp". Lineage: Eukaryota; Metazoa; Chordata; Lepidosauria; Squamata; Chamaeleonidae. The record is from RNAcentral.